Small nuclear RNA from Manis pentadactyla (Chinese pangolin), 106 nucleotides. NCBI's taxonomy places the organism in Eukaryota, Metazoa, Chordata, Mammalia, Pholidota, Manidae. The record is from RefSeq and is a predicted model, not a curated record.
GUGCUCACUUAGCAGUACAUAUUCUAAAACUGGGACAGUUUGGAGAAGAUUGGCAUGGCCCCUGUGCAAGGAUGAUACACAAAUACGUGAAGCAUUCCAUAUUUUC